RNAcentral lists this ribosomal RNA (253 nucleotides) under uncultured bacterium. RNAcentral describes it as "partial 16S ribosomal RNA". It matches the Rfam family "Bacterial small subunit ribosomal RNA", at positions 524 to 776 of the family's 1533-position model. The record is from RNAcentral.
UACGUAGGUGGCAAGCGUUGUCCGGAUUUACUGGGCGUAAAGAGCGCGCAGGCGGUCGGAUACGUCGCAUGUGAAAGCCCCCGGCUCAACUGGGGAGGGUCAUUCGAUACUGUUCGACUCGAAGGCAGGAGAGGGAAGUGGAAUUCCCGGUGUAGUGGUGAAAUGCGUAGAUAUCGGGAGGAACACCAGUGGCGAAGGCGACUUCCUGGCCUGUUCUUGACGCUGAGGCGCGAAAGCUAGGGGAGCAAACGGG